Podarcis lilfordi (Lilford's wall lizard) is the source of this 73-nucleotide non-coding RNA. The record is from the annotation of a GenBank genome assembly. NCBI's taxonomy places the organism in Eukaryota, Metazoa, Chordata, Lepidosauria, Squamata, Lacertidae.
GCUGGGAUAGCUUAGUCAGUAGAGCACUAGACUCUUAAUCUUAGGGUUGCGGGUUCAAGCCCCACCUUGGGCA